AGAGUUUGAUCCUGGCUCAGAGCGAACGCUGGCGGCAGGCCUAACACAUGCAAGUCGAGCGCCCGUAGCAAUACGGGAGCGGCAGACGGGAGAGUAACACGUGGGAACGCGCCCUUCGGUUCGGAAUAACUCAGGGAAACUUGAGCUAAUACCGGAUACGCCCUUACGGGGAAAGAUUUAUUGCCGAAGGAACGGCCCGCGUCCGAUUAGCUAGUUGGUGAGGUAAUGGCUCACCAAGGUGACGAUCGGUAGCUGGUCUGAGAGGAUGACCAGCCUCACUGGGACUGAGACACGGCCCAGACUCCUACGGGAGGCAGCAGUGGGGAAUAUUGGACAAUGGGCGCAAGCCUGAUCCAGCCAUGCCGCGUGGAUGAUGAAGGCCCUAGGGUUGUAAAGUCCUUUUAACGGGGAAGA
RNAcentral lists this ribosomal RNA (414 nucleotides) under uncultured bacterium. RNAcentral's name for it is "bacterial SSU rRNA". It matches the Rfam family "Bacterial small subunit ribosomal RNA", at positions 8 to 448 of the family's 1533-position model. The record is from RNAcentral.